RNAcentral lists this unclassified non-coding RNA (730 nucleotides) under Hevea brasiliensis (rubber tree). The stretch from base 106 to 191 matches the Rfam family "mir-160 microRNA precursor family". Lineage: Eukaryota; Viridiplantae; Streptophyta; Magnoliopsida; Malpighiales; Euphorbiaceae. The record is from RNAcentral.
GUUUGAGCUUUCUGUGCUACAACAUAUAUUUCUAUAUUUCUUUUCUUUCUUUUUCAUUUUCCAAUCCACUAAACAUACAAAAACGCCUGUUUUUAGAUACUUAUUGUGUGCCUGGCUCCCUGUAUGCCAUCUGCAAAGCUCAUCAGAAAGUCGGUGGCCUCCGCAGUUGGCAUGCGAGGAGCCAUGCAUGCUGCAACUCAUUUAGUCCAGGAAGGGAAUGUUUCUCUGAUUGAAUUAAAGUCUAUCACAUGUAGCCAUAUAGUCACAGAACACUUUAACCCUAAUUCUUUCCAUCUAGCUCUAAUAAACAUUUAGGACAUUAGAGUGAACUUGGAAUGAACCAGGAAAGAUUAUUCAUAGUGGAGAGGACAGUCAAGCCCAUAUCCGUUUUCUUUUCCCACACUUUAUGAUUGUUUUAAUUAACAGUCAGCAAGAGAGAGUUCGACUGAAUUGGUAAGUGAGAACAUUCAUAGAAGUUUCAUCUUUAUUUGUCUUUCCUUUUUCUUUUUUUUACUCAUUAUUAAUGAUUUAAAAUUAUUGAAAUUUUCCUGCUAUGAAGGUUGCUUUUGUGUCUGAUUUACACUGAAGGCAUGGAAACUCAACAUGGGGCAUACAAUUCAUUACAUGGAGAUAGCUAUUGAAGAGAAAAUAAAGAAAGCUUCCACUAUUAUUUGUUACCCUCCAACGAAUGAACAUUCAACUAUGAUUCCUACAUGGUAAAUUCCUGUGU